AUUAAAAAAAUGAACUAUACUUUACAAUAUAAUGAGUCUUAUGUAGGCGAAACUCGGAUUCAAAACAUACCAUUGCCAGAUUCAAUUCUGCAAUUGAAAGCAAAAUGCAUCGCAGAAGAUGGCAUUGCAAAGUGGGGUGAGGUUGUAGAGGAACACGUACCUUAUACCACCACUCAAAACAUCAACAAUUUAGCUCAAGCCGAGUUGCUUCUGAACAUAACGGACAACACAAAUAUCGUGC
Physella acuta is the source of this 241-nucleotide long non-coding RNA. RefSeq lists it as uncharacterized. The record is from RefSeq and is a predicted model, not a curated record. Lineage: Eukaryota; Metazoa; Mollusca; Gastropoda; Physidae.